UGGAAGAUUGAAGGGGGCUGCUCCUAGUACGAGAGGACCGGAGUGGACGAACCUCUGGUGUUCGGGUUGUGUCGCCAGACGCAUUGCCCGGUAGCUAAGUUCGGAAUUGAUAAGCGCUGAAAGCAUCUAAGCGCGAAGCGAGCCCUGAGAUGAGUCUUCCCUGACAGUUUAACUGUCCUAAAGGGUUGUUCGAGACUAGAACGUUGAUAGGCAGGGUGUGUAAGCGUUGUGAGGCGUUGAGCUAACCUGUACUAAUUGCCCGUGAGGCUUAACCAUACAACACCCAAGGGGUUUUGUA
This 298-nucleotide ribosomal RNA is filed under the name Shigella sonnei. Its description in RNAcentral is "partial 23S ribosomal RNA". It matches the Rfam family "Bacterial large subunit ribosomal RNA", at positions 2655 to 2925 of the family's 2925-position model. The record is from RNAcentral. Lineage: Bacteria; Pseudomonadati; Pseudomonadota; Gammaproteobacteria; Enterobacterales; Enterobacteriaceae.